Aplysia californica (California sea hare) is the source of this 192-nucleotide long non-coding RNA. RefSeq lists it as uncharacterized. Lineage: Eukaryota; Metazoa; Mollusca; Gastropoda; Aplysiida; Aplysiidae. The transcript is spliced from 2 exons. The record is from RefSeq and is a predicted model, not a curated record.
AGCUGUAGCCUCUCUCUGUCAGGAUCUUCAUGAGGUAGUCUGUGAGGUCACGGCCGGCCAAGUCCAGCCUCAUGAUGGCGUGUGGGAGAGCGUAUCCCUCGUAGAUAGGCACAGUGUGGGACACACCGUCACCAGAGUCCAGCACGAUACCUGACACAUACAACACAACAACGUUUGGUGAGCCUGUACUUC